ACGGUGGCAAAUCCUGUGGAAUAAAUAUAGGCUUCCUUGCCAAGAGGGAAUCGGGUGAGAACCCCGAACUAUCCCGUAACUGUGAUGCGAUGAGCUAAGUCAGAUACCUCUCUAACUGAAGAAGUGCUU
RNAcentral lists this non-coding RNA (129 nucleotides) under Propionimicrobium lymphophilum. The record is from RNAcentral. Lineage: Bacteria; Bacillati; Actinomycetota; Actinomycetes; Propionibacteriales; Propionibacteriaceae.